AGCACCUAGACUUACUUUCAGCAAGGAGUCCAACACUACUGGCGGAAAUCCUGUGCCUCUAACAAGCUCAGCCUCUCUGUGGGGCGUUCUUCGGGAUCCCUCCGCAGGAGCGCCUGUCCUUUGGGAGGAAGAAGAGCCAACUGGGGUCGUUUGCCUUGGUCUCCUCUCUUCGCUACAUCCACCUAAAGAUGCAGUUGGAUCACCCACGUUCCAAUUUUCUCUGCAUAC
Molecule: long non-coding RNA, 228 nt
Filed under: Macaca mulatta (Rhesus monkey)
Lineage: Eukaryota; Metazoa; Chordata; Mammalia; Primates; Cercopithecidae
Description: lncRNA (ENSMMUG00000055161.1)
Source: RNAcentral